UACGGAGGGUGCAAGCGUUAUCCGGAUUCACUGGGUUUAAAGGGUGCGUAGGUGGAUUGGUAAGUCAGUGGUGAAAUCUCCGGGCUUAACUCGGAAACUGCCAUUGAUACUAUCAGUCUUGAAUACCGUGGAGGUCAGUAGAAUAUGUCAUGUAGCGGUGAAAUGCUUAGAUAUGACAUAGAAUACCAAUUGCGAAGGCAGCUGGCUACACGAGCAUUGACACUCAGGCACGAAAGCGUGGGGAUCAAACAGG
RNAcentral lists this ribosomal RNA (253 nucleotides) under uncultured bacterium. RNAcentral describes it as "partial 16S ribosomal RNA". It matches the Rfam family "Bacterial small subunit ribosomal RNA", at positions 524 to 776 of the family's 1533-position model. The record is from RNAcentral.